GGAGGGGAGUCUUUCCCUGGAGGGCAAAGGGAGAAGAACUAGAUCUUAGAGAUGCAGCUAAGGCAGGGGUAGCAGAGGCUGUGCAAGUGCUAGGCUGAUGACUGCCAGACUGGGGCCCUGACAAAAAGGGGCAGAGAAGGUGCUGGGGCUAUGGGGAAGUGGCCCAGGGAAGCAGGCAGUAGAGGAGAGCUGGAGGAGGGUAGUAAGUAGCUGUCACUAGAGGGUCCCUGGGUUGGGACCCCCUUCUCCUCUUCCCCCCGCCUCCCCCACACUUGCAAGUGAUGAAAGUGUCGAAACCAGACUGCAGUUCGCUAGACUAAGGACUGCAGUGAGCUACUGAGGCGAGUGAUAGAACCAGAAGCUGCUGGUCCCCCUCAAGGGUGGGGAGAGCCAUCGGAGUGGGCACAGCUGGAGGGCAGUGUCCAGAAGCGGAUGCCUCAGUCCGGGAGUGACGGGGAUCCAAAGAGGUUGUGGAACAGCUGGGACUCAUGUGGAGAUGAGGCUGAGAGCGCUUUGGCUGAAGCCCUGUUGCUGCUGACUUAGAUGCAGACUGCUUGCCUGGCUUGAAAUUCACCUCUUUGCCCAGGACCAGCACAAGAUUUGUGGACCACUUAGGUUAUGAAAGCAAGAAUAUAUCGGUCCAUGAAUCAACAACUCUACAUGAGCUUCUUAGAAACCAUAUGCCCCCUCUGGCCCAACUUGAUCAUCAUACACAUUGUAAGGAGAGUGAUCACUUUAGAUAAGCUAUUAC
This is a long non-coding RNA of Chelonia mydas (Green sea turtle), 751 nucleotides long. RefSeq lists it as uncharacterized. NCBI's taxonomy places the organism in Eukaryota, Metazoa, Chordata, Testudines, Cheloniidae. The record is from RefSeq and is a predicted model, not a curated record. The transcript has 3 exons.